RNAcentral lists this ribosomal RNA (305 nucleotides) under uncultured bacterium. RNAcentral's name for it is "partial 16S ribosomal RNA". It matches the Rfam family "Bacterial small subunit ribosomal RNA", at positions 508 to 807 of the family's 1533-position model. The record is from RNAcentral.
ACAGCAGUAGCCGCGGGAACACGGAGGAUCCAAGCGUUAUCCGGAAUCAUUGGGUUUAAAGGGUCCGUAGGCGGUCUUGUAAGUCAGUGGUGAAAGCCCAUCGCUCAACGGUGGAACGGCCAUUGAUACUGCAGGACUUGAAUUAUUGGGAAGUAACUAGAAUAUGUAGUGUAGCGGUGAAAUGCUUAGAGAUUACAUGGAAUACCAAUUGCGAAGGCAGGUUACUACCAAUUGAUUGACGCUGAUGGACGAAAGCGUGGGUAGCGAACAGGAUUAGAUACCCCAGUAGUCCCUGUCUCUUAUAC